UAAGGGGGUUGCGAGCGUUAUUCGGAAUUAUUGGGCGUAAAGGGCGCGCAGGCGGUUGAAUAAGUCAGGUGUGAAAGCCAUUGGCUUAACCAAGGAAGUGCAUUUGAUACUAUUUGACUUGAGUAUGGGAGAGGGAAGUGGAAUUACUGGUGUAGAGGUGAAAUUCGUAGAUAUCAGGAGGAACACCGGUGGCGAAAGCGACUUCCUGGACCAAUACUGACGCUGAGGCGCGAAGGCGUGGGGAGCAAACAGG
RNAcentral lists this ribosomal RNA (253 nucleotides) under uncultured bacterium. RNAcentral's name for it is "partial 16S ribosomal RNA". It matches the Rfam family "Bacterial small subunit ribosomal RNA", at positions 524 to 776 of the family's 1533-position model. The record is from RNAcentral.